GAUGAACGCUGGCGGCGUGCCUAAUACAUGCAAGUCGAGCGAACGGACGAGAAGCUUGUUUUUCUGAUGUUAGCGGCGGACGGGUGAGUAACACGUGGAUAACCUACUUAUUAUACUGGGAUAACUUCGGGAAACCGGAGCUGAUACCGCAUCAUACGUUGAACCGGAUGGUGCAAAAGUUCAAGGCGGCUUUGCUGUUACUUAGAGAUGGAUCCGCGUUGCAUUAGCUAGUUGGUAAGGUAACGGCUUACCAAGGCAACGAUGCAUAGCCGACCUGAGAGGGUGAUCGGCCACACUGGAACUGAGACACGGUCCAGACUCCUACGGGAGGCAGCAGUAGGGAAUCUUCCGCAAUGGGCGAAAGCCUGACGGAGCAACGCCGCGUGAGUGAUGAAGGUCUUCGGACCGUAAAACUCUGUUAUUAGGGAAGAACAGAUGUGUAAUUAACUGUGCACAUCUUGACGGUACCUAAUCAGAAAGCCACGGCUAACUACGUG
RNAcentral lists this ribosomal RNA (497 nucleotides) under uncultured bacterium. Its description in RNAcentral is "partial 16S ribosomal RNA". It matches the Rfam family "Bacterial small subunit ribosomal RNA", at positions 28 to 507 of the family's 1533-position model. The record is from RNAcentral.